UUCUGUCACACCCUGCAUCCUUUUUAGCACUGUGGAUCAGCUUAGCUCACAGAGAACCACUAAGGUGGGGCCAAGAGGAGUUAGAAUGAGGACUUGGGGCUGGAUUUCUGGAAGGGCCUCUUGGUGAUGCUAAGGAACCAGCUUGGCUUCAACCUUUACCUGGAAAGUCCAUUCCCAAGAUUGGAUUUUGAUCCCUGUUGCUGGAGCAGCCUGGUCAGCAUUUCUGCAAGGUCCCAAAAGGGAAGGAAGCUAUUUAUUGAGCACUGGAUAUGGAGCUGAAUCCAGAGCUGCUGUUGGCGGAUUGUACCCACGGGGAGAUGAUUCCUCAUGAAGAGCCUGGAUCCCCUACAGAAAUCAAAUGUGACUUUCCAUUUAUCAGACUAAAAUCAGAGCCAGCCAAACAGUGA
Long non-coding RNA from Nycticebus coucang (slow loris), 407 nucleotides. RefSeq lists it as uncharacterized. NCBI's taxonomy places the organism in Eukaryota, Metazoa, Chordata, Mammalia, Primates, Lorisidae. The transcript is spliced from 2 exons. The record is from RefSeq and is a predicted model, not a curated record.